This 468-nucleotide ribosomal RNA is filed under the name uncultured bacterium. Its description in RNAcentral is "partial 16S ribosomal RNA". It matches the Rfam family "Bacterial small subunit ribosomal RNA", at positions 28 to 507 of the family's 1533-position model. The record is from RNAcentral.
GACGAACGCUGGCGGCGUGCUUAACACAUGCAAGUCGAACGGAAAGGCCCUGCUUUUGUGGGGUGCUCGAGUGGCGAACGGGUGAGUAACACGUGAGUAACCUGCCCUUGACUUUGGGAUAACUUCAGGAAACUGGGGCUACUACCGGAUAGGAGCUCCUGCUGCAUGGUGGGGGUUGGAAAGUUUCGGCGGUUGGGGAUGGACUCGCGGCUUAUCAGCUUGUUGGUGGGGUAGUGGCUUACCAAGGCUUUGACGGGUAGCCGGCCUGAGAGGGUGACCGGCCACAUUGGGACUGAGAUACGGCCCAGACUCCUACGGGAGGCAGCAGUGGGGAAUAUUGCACAAUGGGCGGAAGCCUGAUGCAGCAACGCCGCGGGCGGGAUGACGGCCUUCGGGUUGUAAACCGCUUUCGCCUGUGACGAAGCGUGAGUGACGGUAAUGGGUAAAGAAGCACCGGCUAACUACGUG